AGCUUGCUGGGUGGAUUAGUGGCGAACGGGUGAGUAACACGUGAGUAACCUGCCCUUAACUCUGGGAUAAGCCUGGGAAACUGGGUCUAAUACCGGAUAGGAGCGUCCACCGCAUGGUGGGUGUUGGAAAGAUUUAUCGGUUUUGGAUGGACUCGCGGCCUAUCAGCUUGUUGGUGAGGUAAUGGCUCACCAAGGCGACGACGGGUAGCCGGCCUGAGAGGGUGACCGGCCACACUGGGACUGAGACACGGCCCAGACUCCUACGGGAGGCAGCAGUGGGGAAUAUUGCACAAUGGGCGAAAGCCUGAUGCAGCGACGCCGCGUGAGGGAUGACGGCCUUCGGGUUGUAAACCUCUUUCAGUAGGGAAGAAGCGAAAGUGACGGUACCUGCAGAAGAAGCACCGGCUAACUACGUGCCAGCAGCCGCGGUAAUACGUAGGGUGCGAGCGUUAUCCGGAAUUAUUGGGCGUAAAGAGCUCGUAGGCGGUUUGUCGCGUCUGUCGUGAAAGUCCGGGGCUUAACCCCGGAUCUGCGGUGGGUACGGGCAGACUAGAGUGCAGUAGGGGAGACUGGAAUUCCUGGUGUAGCGGUGGAAUGCGCAGAUAUCAGGAGGAACACCGAUGGCGAAGGCAGGUCUCUGGGCUGUAACUGACGCUGAGGAGCGAAAGCAUGGGGAGCGAACAGGAUUAGAUACCCUGGUAGUCCAUGCCGUAAACGUUGGGCACUAGGUGUGGGGACCAUUCCACGGUUUCCGCGCCGCAGCUAACGCAUUAAGUGCCCCGCCUGGGGGAGUACGGCCGCAAGGCUAAAACUCAAAAGGAAUUGACGGGGGGCCCGCACAAGCGGGCGGAGCAUUGC
RNAcentral lists this ribosomal RNA (858 nucleotides) under Micrococcus sp. RNAcentral describes it as "bacterial SSU rRNA". It matches the Rfam family "Bacterial small subunit ribosomal RNA", at positions 77 to 943 of the family's 1533-position model. Lineage: Bacteria; Bacillati; Actinomycetota; Actinomycetes; Micrococcales; Micrococcaceae. The record is from RNAcentral.